AAUCAACGCUGGCGGCGUGCCUCAGACAUGCAAGUCGAACGAUUAAAGCUCUCUUCGGAGAGUGCAUAGAGUGGCGCACGGGUGAGUAACACGUAAGUAAUCUACCCUCGAGUGGGGAAUAACGUCCGGAAACGGGCGCUAAUACCGCAUAAUGCAGCGGCAUCAUAAGAUGACAGUUGUUAAAGAUUUAUCGCUUGAGGAGGAGCUUGCGGCAGAUUAGCUAGUUGGUAAGGUAACGGCUUACCAAGGCUACGAUCUGUAUCCGGUCUAAGAGGACGGUCGGACACACUGACACUGAAUAACGGGCCAGACUCCUACGGGAGGCAGCAGUCGGGAAUUUUGGGCAAUGGGCGAAAGCCUGACCCAGCAACGCCGCGUGAAGGAUGAAGUAUUUCGGUAUGUAAACUUCGAAAGAAUGGGAAGAAUAAAUGACGGUACCAUUUAUAAGCUCCGGCUAACUACGUGCCAGCCGCCGCCGUAA
This 481-nucleotide ribosomal RNA is filed under the name uncultured bacterium. RNAcentral's name for it is "partial 16S ribosomal RNA". It matches the Rfam family "Bacterial small subunit ribosomal RNA", at positions 32 to 523 of the family's 1533-position model. The record is from RNAcentral.